RNAcentral lists this ribosomal RNA (96 nucleotides) under uncultured bacterium. RNAcentral describes it as "partial 16S ribosomal RNA". It matches the Rfam family "Bacterial small subunit ribosomal RNA", at positions 1386 to 1482 of the family's 1533-position model. The record is from RNAcentral.
CACACCGCCCGUCACACCAUGGGAGUUUGUUGCACCAGAAGCAGGUAGCUUAACCUUCGGGAGGGCGCUUGCCACGGUGUGGCCGAUGACUGGGUG